Molecule: ribosomal RNA, 253 nt
Filed under: uncultured bacterium
Lineage: Bacteria
Description: partial 16S ribosomal RNA
Rfam family: Bacterial small subunit ribosomal RNA
Source: RNAcentral
UACGAAGGGGGCUAGCGUUGCUCGGAAUUACUGGGCGUAAAGGGCGCGUAGGCGGAUAUUUAAGUCGGGGGUGAAAGCCCGGGGCUCAACCUCGGAAUUGCCUUCGAUACUGGAUAUCUUGAGUUCGGGAGAGGUGAGUGGAAUGCCGAGUGUAGAGGUGAAAUUCGUAGAUAUUCGGCGGAACACCAGUGGCGAAGGCGACUCACUGGCCCGAUACUGACGCUGAGGCGCGAAAGCGUGGGGAGCAAACAGG